GCCAGGUGUGGUGGCGCAUGCCUGUCAUCCCAGCCGCUCGGGAGGCUGAGGCAAAAGGAUCACAAGAGCAAAACCAGCCUCAGCAAAAGCAAGGAGCUAAGCAACUCAGUGAGACUCUGUCUCUA
Molecule: small RNA, 125 nt
Filed under: Marmota monax (woodchuck)
Lineage: Eukaryota; Metazoa; Chordata; Mammalia; Rodentia; Sciuridae
Source: RNAcentral